CACUGGAGGGAGGUGGGGGGCUCUGCCUCCACAGGCCAGACUGGCAAAUUCAAUUGUGUUGCCACUCCGAGCUGCAGGACCACUGGACACAGAUGGAAACCAGCUUAUCACUAUUGGUCUUUUGCCACCACUGACCUAUAUAACUGGAGAACCCAAAAUGCCCGGUUCUCUGAAAAUCCUAAUGAGCUCUUAGCUUUACUAGAACCUGUCCUUUUCACCCACCAGCCGACAUGGGACAAAUGCCAACAGCUCUUCCAGAUUCUGUUCACCACCGAGGAUCGAGAGUGAAUCCUAUCCAGAGCCCGUGAACUAGUCCCGGGCAAGAACGGACAGCCCGUGGGCAAUCCUGAUACUAUCAACACCAAAUUCCCUUCGUCCUGGCCAGAAUGGGACUUCAACACAGCUGAAGCCUUCCCCAGCACCUAAGAGCCAAUAAUUCUUCACCUUCGAGUGGUUGGACCCUGAACGUGGAUUCAGCAGACAGUUAACUUGGAAACGCUUGCCUCAGGGCUUCAAAAAUGCACCUAGUAUCUUCAAUGAAGCCUUACAUGAAGAUUUGGGUACCCACAACCUUAAACCCCACGACUUUGCUGCCAGACCCAGACCUUGAUACUCCCUUCCACUAUGCAUCGAAAUCCUCGCACAGGCUCAUGGAAUCUGACCUGACUUGAGAGAUCAGCCCUUGCCAGAUGCAGAAAUCACCUGCUGUAUGGAUGGGAGCAGUUUUGUGUCAAAGGCACUGAGGACAACCUCAUUUCAGGACGGACAUCUACAAAGGACCCGGACAAUCCCUUAAAGCUAAAUCUUCAACAUGUGGAACCUUGCAAAUACUGUCUUCCCUCCUCUGGAUAGCUUAGGCAAGGGACUCCCCUCACCAGCUCCUCAAAAUGACCUGGCUCAUUCCUAGCACCACUGCAGGAGACAUUGUCAAUACCACCACUGCAUUCGUC
Long non-coding RNA from Tupaia belangeri chinensis (Chinese tree shrew), 950 nucleotides. RefSeq lists it as uncharacterized. The transcript has 4 exons. NCBI's taxonomy places the organism in Eukaryota, Metazoa, Chordata, Mammalia, Scandentia, Tupaiidae. The record is from RefSeq and is a predicted model, not a curated record.